Molecule: long non-coding RNA, 2310 nt
Organism: Quercus robur (English oak)
Lineage: Eukaryota; Viridiplantae; Streptophyta; Magnoliopsida; Fagales; Fagaceae
Exons: 2
Source: RefSeq, a predicted model, not a curated record
UAUAUCCAGAGUCCAAAAGUUGUUUUCCUCCGAUAUAUAAAUAGAUCCAAACGUUGUCUGAUCUGAUCCUAUAAAACACGGGUACACUCUCUACAGCUACACUCCACUCAGUCCACAACCUUCAUCCCUAAACCCUAACCUUCUUCAUCUCUCUUUGACAAAGCUAAGCUAAGCAGCAAUGUCAGAUAAUGAGAAGAGAUGGGGAUAUUUACCUGAUGAGAUUCUUACCCAUAUUUUCCAUUGCCUACCUAUCAAAUCCAUCAUUGUCUGUACCUCUGUCUCAAAAGCAUGGAAAUCCCUAAUCAAAAACCCAACUUUCAUUUCAACCCAUCUCCGCCAAUCCCACAAAAACCUCCUCCUCUUCAGGCAUCCCACAAAACCAUUUGAAAUGUUUGGUACCAUACCCACAGGUGACAGAAAGUGUAUACAUUGCUUCAUGAUGAUGAUGAUGAUGAUGAUUUCACUGAACAACAACAACACACAAGGUUAGAUUUCCCUUUCCACGGUCCAGACCUUGAGUCCCAUUGCCCAGUAUUCCGUGUGGUCGGUACUUGUGACGGUUUGCUCUGCCUUUCUGAUGAUUUAUUCACAUACACUGACAUAUUUUAUCUGUGGAACCCUUGUGUUAGAAAGAUUCUCCGACUUCCUUAUCCUAAUGUCACAUUUUCCACACAUGGUGGGUUCGACGCUUCUCUUGGUUUUGGAUUUGAUCCCAAAACUAAUGACUAUAAAGUGGUCAGGGUUGUCACCUUAGUGGAUACACUUGACCUUCGAAAGGAUCGACCCAAGGUUGAGGUUUAUUCACUCUCCACUGAUAAAUGGAGAAUGGUUAAGGCUAGUCUGGUUCCCAGAUGUGUUCUUGAUGGUCGUGCACCACAGGCAUUUGUCAAUGGGGCUGUGCAUUGGCGUGUUUUCACAGGGGCUGAUGAUGGCUCAUUUCAUCAUUUUGUUUUGGUGUUUGAUUUGGGGGAUGAGGUCUUCCGCAAAAUGCUGCUGCCAGAACUUCCAGCUUAUACCCGUGAAAGAAUGCGGCUUUACUUUCCUAUUUCCACAUAUAGGAACUCCAUUGCCUUCUUUCACCAGGACUAUAAUAGUCACUGUCUCGAUAUAUGGGUGAUGAAACAGUAUGGUGUUGUUUCCUCGUGGACCAAAGCUUUAAGUUUAACUAUGACUAGUCAAGGUGGCUUCCUUUCAAGAGACUAUAUACGGAGGGCAGUAGGUUUCACAAGGAGUGGCAAGAUUGUGUUGGAAAUGGUGGAGGGCACCUUGUGUCGCAGGAUCUUGAGACCAAAGUGACUAAGGAUCUUGGGAUUAUUGGAUAUAAGUAUAAUUUUGUUGAUGCUUACGUUGAGAGUCUCAUUUUGCUCGACAAAGCUGCCAAUGGUGUGGUUACAUACUAACAAAAAUAGGCAGCGAUAGGCAGCGCAGCAAGCAUUUUUGCCUCAAUUUUGAAAGGGAAAAUUAUUGGAGUUAAUAGGUAUUAAGCAUCUUUUUAGCCUUUUGUUUUUCUGUAAUUGAAAUUUGAAAAUAUGCUGACAAACAAAGCAAUCUUAGGUUCAAUAUUCUUUUUGUAGCAAUGAUAUCUGUGAUAUCUUAUUAUUAUGUAAUUGUUGGCGUGGUUAUAUGCUUAGUUCAUUUACCCUGGUCCCCAUCCUUGGUGCACAUCUUCAUGUGGUAAUGGCUUGGAAUACUUCUUAAUAUGUACAUUCCGGAAAACCAUAAAUAGUAGUGUAGGUUGGUUUAGGUUUUUUCUGUAUGUUACCUCACUAAUUGGUGUUAAUUUAUCUACUUCUAGUGUUAAAUCACAAACAAGAAUGCACUUUCGUGUCUUAAUUUCUUGCAGGACCUUAUGCAAUCAUGGUUGGUGAUGAGCUGCAGUAACAGACUUUAACUUAGAAAAAGAAAAGAUUGAACAAAGCUUUUUGAUGGUGUUUUGUUUCUUAGUAUGGAAUUAGUUUACUAUGCAAAUGAAUCAUAGUUGUUUAUGUUAAGACUCAUUCUGUGGCCACACCAUUUUUAUAUUAGUAACUAUGGAUGAUUUGCAGUUGGUUUUAUUGUGUUUGCAGAAAUGAUUAAACACUUUGUUUUGACUGUCAUUCUUGCAUUGUGAUGAAGAAGCUCACCAACAUAGUGGGUGUGUUUGUGUUUUGGGAACAUGGAUGCGCUGCCCAAUUGUGUUAAGCUUCUCCUUGCCUAGUUGUAGUUGUUUAUGUUAAACUCCUUUUGUGGCUACAUCAUUAUUAUGUUAGUAUUUUUUUUUUUUUUUGAGAAACGUUACAUUAGUAUUUCUAGAUGAUAUGCAAUUUGGUU